This 635-nucleotide unclassified non-coding RNA is filed under the name Hevea brasiliensis (rubber tree). The record is from RNAcentral. Lineage: Eukaryota; Viridiplantae; Streptophyta; Magnoliopsida; Malpighiales; Euphorbiaceae.
UGCGCAGCCGUUUGUCAAUCACGAGCCUCCUUCCUUUCUCUCUCAUCAGUUCCAGAUUCCAGGUCUAAAAGAAGAACCCAGAAACCAACCAUACCUACAAUGGUACUGUAUUACUGAAAUAAACCCAAAAAAGCCAUGUUGAGAUCAUCGUUAAUUCAUCGCAUAACACCCUUCUUAACCACUCGGAUUCGCCGUAAUCACAGGAUGCUAAGCUCCUCUUCUGCACUUCGCGAAGCUUCUUCUCCUUCAACUUCCCCUUCCCCUUCCCCUUCUCUCGAUGAAGCUAUUCACCUAACUGACAAUUGCGUUCGGAGGAUGAAAGAACUGCAAGCCAGUGAAGGAUUGGCUGAGGAAAAAAUGCUUCGCUUGGGGGUGGAAACUGGUGGAUGUUCUGGUUUCCAAUAUGUAUUUGACUUGGACAGUAAAAUCAACCCNNNNNNNNNUUUUGAGAGAGCUGGAGUCAAAUUGGUUGUUGAUAAUAUUUCAUAUGAUUUUGUGAANNNNNNNNNUGUUGAAGAGCUGAUUCGUUCUGCUUUCCUAGUGACUACAAAUCCAAGUGCAGUGGGCGGGUGCAGCUGUAAAAGUUCAUUCAUGGUACAACAAUAGUACUAUCAAAGCUCCAUACAGUUCCAACA